GCGGAUGUAGUUCAAUGGUAGAACUUCAGCUUCCCAAGCUGACUACCUUGGUUCGAUUCCUAUUAUCCGCUCCA
RNAcentral lists this transfer RNA (74 nucleotides) under Gammaproteobacteria bacterium. Its description in RNAcentral is "tRNA-Gly". It matches the Rfam family "tRNA". Rfam says of the family: Transfer RNA (tRNA) molecules are approximately 80 nucleotides in length. Lineage: Bacteria; Pseudomonadati; Pseudomonadota; Gammaproteobacteria. The record is from RNAcentral.